This 253-nucleotide ribosomal RNA is filed under the name uncultured bacterium. RNAcentral describes it as "partial 16S ribosomal RNA". It matches the Rfam family "Bacterial small subunit ribosomal RNA", at positions 524 to 776 of the family's 1533-position model. The record is from RNAcentral.
UACGGAGGGAGCUAGCGUUGUUCGGAAUUACUGGGCGUAAAGCGCACGUAGGCGGCUUUUUAAGUCAGGGGUGAAAUCCCGGGGCUCAACCCCGGAACUGCCUUUGAAACUGGAGAGCUAGAAUCUUGGAGAGGCGAGUGGAAUUCCGAGUGUAGAGGUGAAAUUCGUAGAUAUUCGGAGGAACACCAGUGGCGAAGGCGGCUCACUGGCUCGAUACUGACGCUGAGGUGCGAAAGCGUGGGGAGCAAACAGG